This 308-nucleotide ribosomal RNA is filed under the name uncultured Pseudomonas sp. RNAcentral describes it as "bacterial SSU rRNA". It matches the Rfam family "Bacterial small subunit ribosomal RNA", at positions 1073 to 1382 of the family's 1533-position model. Lineage: Bacteria; Pseudomonadati; Pseudomonadota; Gammaproteobacteria; Pseudomonadales; Pseudomonadaceae. The record is from RNAcentral.
UGUUGGGUUAAGUCCGUAACGAGCGCAACCCUGUCCUUAGUUACCAGCACGUUAUGGUGGGCACUCUAAGGAGACUGCCGGUGACAAACCGGAGGAAGGUGGGGAUGACGUCAAGUCAUCAUGGCCCUUACGGCCUGGGCUACACACGUGCUACAAUGGUCGGUACAAAGGGUUGCCAAGCCGCGAGGUGGAGCUAAUCCCAUAAAACCGAUCGUAGUCCGGAUCGCAGUCUGCAACUCGACUGCGUGAAGUCGGAAUCGCUAGUAAUCGUGAAUCAGAAUGUCACGGUGAAUACGUUCCCGGGCCUU